UAUGGCAGAAUAGUGCA
RNAcentral lists this transfer RNA (17 nucleotides) under Cephaloleia cf. strandi McKenna-088. RNAcentral's name for it is "tRNA-Leu". Lineage: Eukaryota; Metazoa; Arthropoda; Insecta; Coleoptera; Chrysomelidae. The record is from RNAcentral.